Amphimedon queenslandica is the source of this 435-nucleotide long non-coding RNA. RefSeq lists it as uncharacterized. The record is from RefSeq and is a predicted model, not a curated record. Lineage: Eukaryota; Metazoa; Porifera; Demospongiae; Haplosclerida; Niphatidae. The transcript is spliced from 4 exons.
GAGUCACACUCACAAUAUUAAACAAUGGCGUCGAAAUUCAUCAUGCUGGCCUCCGUUUUACUGCUCACAAUUCAUUCAGGAUGCAAACUAUUCAAUCACUCAAUAGGAAUCUGAGAAAUACUGCAUCACAUGCAUUUAUUGUUAGAAGGACCAAAACUAAUAAUAUACCAGCAUAUAAUUUCAAAAGUAGUAGAACAAGAAUGUUGACAAUAGUUAGAAAAAUUGAUGGAGACACAGAGGUAUCCAAUGGUGGUAGGAGGGUCCAGUUGUUUGAUGCUGAUGCAGAGCAGGACGAUGAAGGCGUAUAAACUAUAGGCUUAUUAGUACUAGUGUUGUUCUAGUUUAACAUUUUGUUUUGAUUAUAGUUCUAGCUUUCAAACUAUUAUCUUUAGUUCUAUAGUUUUGAUUCUUGUACUAUGUGCUCUAUUUCUAGUA